RNAcentral lists this ribosomal RNA (480 nucleotides) under uncultured bacterium. RNAcentral describes it as "bacterial SSU rRNA". It matches the Rfam family "Bacterial small subunit ribosomal RNA", at positions 160 to 619 of the family's 1533-position model. The record is from RNAcentral.
GGGCUAAUACCGCAUGACAUACCGUGUUUGGAUACACGGAUAUCAAAGCCGGGGAUCGCAAGACCUGGCGCUUGGAGAGGGGCCCGCGUCCGAUUAGCUAGUUGGUGAGGUAACGGCCCACCAAGGCUCCGAUCGGUAUCCGGCCUGAGAGGGCGGACGGACACACUGGAACUGAGACACGGUCCAGACUCCUACGGGAGGCAGCAGUGGGGAAUUGUUCGCAAUGGGCGAAAGCCUGACGACGCAACGCCGCGUGGAGGAUGAAGAAUUUCGGUUCGUAAACUCCUUUCGACCGAGAUGAAUACCCAUGGACUUAAUACGUCUGUGGGCUGACAGUAUCGAGAGAAGAAGCCCCGGCUAACUCUGUGCCAGCAGCCGCGGUAAUACAGGGGGGGCAAGCGUUGUUCGGAAUUACUGGGCGUAAAGGGUUCGUAGGUGGCCAACUAAGUCAGACGUGAAAUCCCUCAGCUUAACUGGGGA